Molecule: ribosomal RNA, 253 nt
Filed under: uncultured bacterium
Lineage: Bacteria
Description: partial 16S ribosomal RNA
Rfam family: Bacterial small subunit ribosomal RNA
Source: RNAcentral
UACGUAGGGGGCAAGCGUUGUCCGGAAUCAUUGGGCGUAAAGCGCGUGUAGGCGGCUUGUUAAGUCCGCUCUGAAAGCCCGGGGCUCAACCCCGGGAGGCGGGUGGAUACUGGCAAGCUCGAGUCCGGAAGAGGCGAGUGGAAUUCCUGGUGUAGCGGUGAAAUGCGCAGAUAUCAGGAGGAACACCAAUGGCGAAGGCAGCUCGCUGGGACGUGACUGACGCUGAGACGCGAAAGCGUGGGGAGCAAACAGG